Molecule: ribosomal RNA, 404 nt
Filed under: uncultured bacterium
Lineage: Bacteria
Description: partial 16S ribosomal RNA
Rfam family: Bacterial small subunit ribosomal RNA
Source: RNAcentral
AUUGAACGCUGGCGGCAGGCCUAACACAUGCAAGUCGAGCGAGCGGCGGAGGGGAGAGUAAUGCCUGGGAAUUGCCCAGUCGAGGGGGAUAACAGUUGGAAACGAGUGCUAAUACCGCAUACGUUGAGCGUGCCCAGGUGGGAUGAGCUAGUUGGUGAGGUAAUGGCUCACCAAGGCGACGAUCCCUAGCGGGUCUGAGAGGAUGAUCCGCCACACUGGAACUGAGACACGGUCCAGACUCCUACGGGAGGCAGCAGUGGGGAAUAUUGCACAAUGGGGGAAAGCCUGAUGCAGCCAUGCCGCGUGUGUGAAGAAGGCCUUCGGGUUGUAAAGGACUUUUGGCAGGGAAGCGUUACUCGCAGAAGAAGCACCGGCUAACUCCGUGCCAGCAGCCGCGGUAAUAC